Molecule: ribosomal RNA, 371 nt
Filed under: uncultured organism
Description: partial 16S ribosomal RNA
Rfam family: Bacterial small subunit ribosomal RNA
Source: RNAcentral
GUAGGUGGCAAGCGUUGUCCGGAAUUAUUGGGCGUAAAGCGCGCGCAGGCGGUUCUUUAAGUCUGAUGUGAAAGCCCACGGCUCAACCGUGGAGGGUCAUUGGAAACUGGAGAACUUGAGUACAGAAGAGGAAAGCGGAAUUCCACGUGUAGCGGUGAAAUGCGUAGAGAUGUGGAGGAACACCAGUGGCGAAGGCGGCUUUCUGGUCUGUAACUGACGCUGAGGCGCGAAAGCGUGGGGGAGCAAACAGGAUUAGAUACCCUGGUAGUCCACGCCGUAAACGAUGAGUGCUAAGUGUUAGGGGGUUUCCGCCCCUUAGUGCUGCAGCUAACACAUUAAGCACUCCGCCUGGGAGUACGGCCGCAAGGCUG